Molecule: unclassified non-coding RNA, 378 nt
Filed under: uncultured bacterium
Lineage: Bacteria
Description: contains 16S-23S intergenic spacer region
Source: RNAcentral
UCCGGUUUGUCACCGGCAGUCUCCCAUGAGUCCCCAACUGAAUGCUGGCAACAUGGAACGGGGGUUGCGCUCGUUGCGGGACUUAACCCAACAUCUCACGACACGAGCUGACGACAACCAUGCACCACCUGUCACCGCUGUCCCCGAAGGGAAAGCCUUGUCUCCAAGACGAUCAGCGGGAUGUCAAGACCUGGUAAGGUUCUUCGCGUUGCUUCGAAUUAAACCACAUGCUCCACCGCUUGUGCGGGCCCCCGUCAAUUUCUUUGAGUUUUAACCUUGCGGCCGUACUCCCCAGGCGGAUGACUUAACGCGUUAGCUGCGCCACCGAAACGCCAAGCGCCCCGACAGCUAGUCAUCAUCGUUUACGGCGUGGACUAC